ACUUGCUUUCUUUGCUGGCGACCGGCGCACGGGUGAGUAACACGUAUCCAACCUGCCCUUUACUCGGGGAUAGCCUUUCGAAAGAAAGAUUAAUACCCGAUGGCAUAAUGAUUCCGCAUGGUUUCAUUAUUAAAGGAUUCCGGUAAAGGAUGGGGAUGCGUUCCAUUAGUUUGUUGGCGGGGUAACGGCCCACCAAGACUACGAUGGAUAGGGGUUCUGAGAGGAAGGUCCCCCACAUUGGAACUGAGACACGGUCCAAACUCCUACGGGAGGCAGCAUG
RNAcentral lists this ribosomal RNA (280 nucleotides) under uncultured bacterium. RNAcentral's name for it is "partial 16S ribosomal RNA". It matches the Rfam family "Bacterial small subunit ribosomal RNA", at positions 74 to 353 of the family's 1533-position model. The record is from RNAcentral.